RNAcentral lists this non-coding RNA (100 nucleotides) under Halapricum salinum. RNAcentral describes it as "L4-Archaeoglobi ribosomal protein leader". It matches the Rfam family "L4-Archaeoglobi ribosomal protein leades". Lineage: Archaea; Methanobacteriati; Methanobacteriota; Halobacteria; Halobacteriales; Haloarculaceae. The record is from RNAcentral.
CUGAUGGGCGCGUUCGGGUCAAUUGCGGCAUGCAACACCCGAUCUCUCUCGGUGUGCCUCCUUCCAUGGAGGUCGCCGAGGGGGAGCGCGUUGCCGUCAG